GGGGCGGGGAAGAGGAAAGGCGGGCAGGAGAGUGGAGAGGAGGCCGGCGAACGUGGACGGGUGGGGGAGAAGAAGCAAAGAGGAGUAACCAGCCCGGAUAAAGCUGUACUUUAAAUCUGCUGACUAGAGAAAUGAAAUAGCAUUAGAGACUGAUUUCCACAAAAUCUUUCAUAAAAGAUGAAGACAUUCUAUGUGAUCUUCUCUUCUUUUGGAAUCAUGCCACCAAGAUUUGAUCCUAUGAGUAAGAGUGCUCAAGAAGACCUGGGCCGCUGAAUGGCUUCCUUGUUGGAACAUUGACAACAGUUUCCUUUCAUGGACCCCUCGAAGCUUCUCCAAAUGUCUAGCAGCAACUCCUAUUAUACUUCAUGCUGUAGCAGUGCUGUUUGUACUUUUUAGAAUCUUUUAAAGAAAUGUUUGCCUUCUCCAACUAAAAUCAAGAAGAUAUUCUCUAGGAACUCCCCUGGUGGUCCAGUGACCCUGCAUUCCCAGUGCAGGGGGCCUGGGUUCCAUCCCUGGCCAGGGAACUAGAUCCCACAUGCCACAACUAAAGAUCCUGCAUGAGGCAACGAAGAUCUCCUGUGCCACAACUAAGACCUGACACAGCCAAAUAAAUA
Molecule: long non-coding RNA, 614 nt
Organism: Orcinus orca (killer whale)
Lineage: Eukaryota; Metazoa; Chordata; Mammalia; Artiodactyla; Delphinidae
Exons: 3
Source: RefSeq, a predicted model, not a curated record